UACGGAGGAUGCAAGCGUUAUCCGGAAUGAUCGGGCGUAAAGCGUCCGCAGGUGGCUGUGUAAGUCUGCUGUCAAAGAGCGAAGCUCAACUUCGUAAAGGCAGUGGAAACUACACGGCUAGAGUGCGUUCGGGGCAGAGGGAAUUCCUGGUGUAGCGGUGAAAUGCGUAGAGAUCAGGAAGAACACCAGUGGCGAAGGCGCUCUGCUAGGCCGUAACUGACACUGAGGGACGAAAGCUAGGGGAGCGAAUGGG
This 253-nucleotide ribosomal RNA is filed under the name uncultured bacterium. RNAcentral's name for it is "partial 16S ribosomal RNA". It matches the Rfam family "Bacterial small subunit ribosomal RNA", at positions 524 to 776 of the family's 1533-position model. The record is from RNAcentral.